Molecule: ribosomal RNA, 244 nt
Filed under: uncultured bacterium
Lineage: Bacteria
Description: partial 16S ribosomal RNA
Rfam family: Bacterial small subunit ribosomal RNA
Source: RNAcentral
GCCAACCUCCGGGGGGCCGCAGUGGGGGAUCUUGCACAAUGGGGGCAACCCUGAUGCCGCAACGCCGCGUGAGGGAAGAAGGUCUUCGGAUUGUAAACCUUUGUUUUUGGUGACGAAAGAAAUGACGGUAGCCAAAGAGGAAGCUCCGGCUAACUACGUGCCGGCAGCCGCGGUAAUACGUAGGGAGCGAGCGUUGUCCGGAAUUACUGGGUGUAAAGGGUGCGCAGGCGGGACAUUAAGUUGG